RNAcentral lists this ribosomal RNA (301 nucleotides) under uncultured bacterium. RNAcentral's name for it is "partial 16S ribosomal RNA". It matches the Rfam family "Bacterial small subunit ribosomal RNA", at positions 509 to 807 of the family's 1533-position model. The record is from RNAcentral.
CAGCCGCCACGGUAAUACGUAGGGUGCAAGCGUUAAUCGGAAUUACUGGGCGUAAAGCGUGCGCAGGCGGUUUUGUAAGACAGAGGUGAAAUCCCCGGGCUCAACCUGGGAACUGCCUUUGUGACUGCAAGGCUAGAGUACGGCAGAGGGGGAUGGAAUUCCGCGUGUAGCAGUGAAAUGCGUAGAUAUGCGGAGGAACACCGAUGGCGAAGGCAAUCCCCUGGGCCUGUACUGACGCUCAUGCACGAAAGCGUGGGGAGCAAACAGGAUUAGAUACCCCAGUAGUCCCUGUCUCUUAUAC